This is a non-coding RNA of Pelobates cultripes (western spadefoot toad), 271 nucleotides long. Lineage: Eukaryota; Metazoa; Chordata; Amphibia; Anura; Pelobatidae. The record is from the annotation of a GenBank genome assembly.
GAAUGGGGAGCUACUGAUUGGCUUAGAGUGCCAGCUGACCGCUCUAGCCAAUCAGCAACACCCCUACCCAACAGCACUCUGUGCCUCCUGACACUCAGUAAAUAAAAGUGAACACAUUAAUACUGAUAUUUUUUUACCUUUGGAGAUGAGAAGGUCCAGCGUUUCCCUGCCUGGCCCAGGUACCAAAGCCUUAUGAUGUGGUGUCCAGAAUAAAGUGGAGGGUUCACUUCAUUUGUCCUUCCUGCUCCAAUCUCCUUUUCCUCUCCUUCAU